AACCCAUGGUGAGGGAACCUUCUCAGUAAGUCCUUAUAUCUCUCUCAUGCAUCGUAAAGUGUUUCUAAAUCCAUCUGCACAAAAGAAGAGAUAUCAUUACGUAAUUU
This 107-nucleotide small nucleolar RNA is filed under the name Gossypium arboreum. RNAcentral describes it as "Plant small nucleolar RNA R71". It matches the Rfam family "Plant small nucleolar RNA R71". Rfam says of the family: R71 is a member of the C/D box family of snoRNAs containing the C (UGAUGA) and D (CUGA) box motifs. Multiple nearly identical copies of this snoRNA have been identified in Arabidopsis, and it is thought to function as a 2'-O-ribose methylation guide for 18S ribosomal RNA. The record is from Rfam by way of RNAcentral. Lineage: Eukaryota; Viridiplantae; Streptophyta; Magnoliopsida; Malvales; Malvaceae.